Molecule: ribosomal RNA, 329 nt
Filed under: Eutypa lata
Lineage: Eukaryota; Fungi; Ascomycota; Sordariomycetes; Xylariales; Diatrypaceae
Description: eukaryotic LSU rRNA
Rfam family: 5.8S ribosomal RNA (bases 1-105)
Source: RNAcentral
CGAAUGCGAUAAGUAAUGUGAAUUGCAGAAUUCAGUGAAUCAUCGAAUCUUUGAACGCACAUUGCGCCCAUUAGUAUUCUAGUGGGCAUGCCUGUUCGAGCGUCAUUUCGACCAUCAAGCCCCAGCUGCUUGGUUUUGGGAGCCUAUCUCUAGGGAUAGCUCCUCAAAUAGAGUGGCGGAGUCGUGCUGACCCAAGCGUAGUAAUUUUUCUCGCUUUCGGUGCCGGUGCUGACGUCCUGCCGUUAAACCCCCUAUUUUUUAAAGGUUGACCUCGGAUCAGGUAGGAAUACCCGCUGAACUUAAGCAUAUCAAUAAGCGGAGGAAGCACA